This 60-nucleotide transfer RNA is filed under the name Thaumastocoris safordi. Its description in RNAcentral is "tRNA-Ala". Lineage: Eukaryota; Metazoa; Arthropoda; Insecta; Hemiptera; Thaumastocoridae. The record is from RNAcentral.
AGGAUUAUAGUUAAAAAUAACAUUUGAAUUGCAAUCAAAAAGUGCAUUAAGCUAAUCUUA